This 76-nucleotide transfer RNA is filed under the name Gordonia phage WilliamBoone. RNAcentral describes it as "tRNA-Asn". It matches the Rfam family "tRNA". From Rfam's summary of the family: Transfer RNA (tRNA) molecules are approximately 80 nucleotides in length. Their secondary structure includes four short double-helical elements and three loops (D, anti-codon, and T loops). Further hydrogen bonds mediate the characteristic L-shaped molecular structure. tRNAs have two regions of fundamental functional importance: the anti-codon, which is responsible for specific mRNA codon recognition, and the 3' end, to which the tRNAs corresponding amino acid is attached (by aminoacyl-tRNA synthetases). tRNAs cope with the degeneracy of the genetic code in two manners: having more than one tRNA (with a specific anti-codon) for a particular amino acid; and 'wobble' base-pairing, i.e. permitting non-standard base-pairing at the 3rd anti-codon position. Lineage: Duplodnaviria; Heunggongvirae; Uroviricota; Caudoviricetes. The record is from RNAcentral.
UUCGGUGUAGCUCAAUUGGCAGAGCGGCGACCUGUUAAGUCGUUGGUUGAAGGUUCGAGUCCUUCCACCGGAGCCA